Molecule: ribosomal RNA, 404 nt
Filed under: uncultured bacterium
Lineage: Bacteria
Description: bacterial SSU rRNA
Rfam family: Bacterial small subunit ribosomal RNA
Source: RNAcentral
GAUGAACGCUGGCGGCGUGCCUAACACAUGCAAGUCGAACGAAACUGAUUCCAUGAAACUUCGGUAGAUUGGAUGGAAGUUGAGUGGCGGACGGGUGAGUAACACGUGGGCAACCUGCCUCACAGAGGGGGAUAGCAGUUGGAAACGACUGAUAAUACCGCAUAAGCACACAGUACCGCAUGGUACAGGGUGAAAAGAUUUAUCACUGUGAGAUGGACCCGCGUCUGAUUAGCCAGUUGGCAGGGUAACGGCCGUACCAAAGCGACGAUCAGUAGCCGACCUGAGAGGGUGACCGGCCACAUUGGGACUGAGACACGGCCCAAACUCCUACGGAGGCAGCAGUGGGGGAUAUUGCACAAUGGAGGAAACGUCUGAUGUAGCGACGCCGCGUGAGUGAAGAAGUA